GAUGAACGCUAGCUACAGGCUUAACACAUGCCAGUCGAGGGGAAACGCCAUCGAAAGCCUGCUUUUGAUGGGCGUCGACCGGCGCACGGGUGAGUAACGCGUAUCCCACCUGCCCCUCACUUGGGAAUAACCUUGCGAAAGUAAGACUAAUACCCAAUGACAUCCCACGAAGACAUCUGAAUGGGAUUAAAGAUUUAUCGGUGAUGGAUGGGGAUGCGUCUGAUUAGCUUGUUGGCGGGGUAACGGCCCACCAAGGCAACGAUCAGUAGGGGUUCUGAGAGGAAGGCACCCCACAUUGGAGAUGAGACACGGACCAAAAUCCUACGGGAGGGAGCAGUGAGGAAGAUUGGGCAAGGGGGGAGGGCCUGAACCAGCCAAGUAGCGGGCAGGAGGACGGCCCUAGGGGUUGUAAACUGCUGUUAUAAGGGAACAAAGUGGGUCUCGUGAGACUUUUUGCAUGUACCUUAUGAAUAAGGACCGGCUAAUUCCGUG
RNAcentral lists this ribosomal RNA (492 nucleotides) under uncultured bacterium. Its description in RNAcentral is "partial 16S ribosomal RNA". It matches the Rfam family "Bacterial small subunit ribosomal RNA", at positions 28 to 507 of the family's 1533-position model. The record is from RNAcentral.